CUGGCCGACGCGGCUGCCCAGGGGUGGCAGCGGCGUUAGAGAUGCCGUAGAGAUGCCCAGAAAUCUCGCCGUUGCCAAGAUGUUGCACGCACACUUCAAGCACCUCCUCUUCCUGCCACAACUGGGGUUCAGUGGCCUUAGGUCAUCAUCCCUGAGAGAGAGCAAAUGUUGACUGCUAGCCGAAGCCCCAUGGUCGUCAGUCUUGUUGCGCUGCUGGUGCCUCACAGAGUUUCCAAUGCCGACAGUGAUGCAGCGAUGAGGCCGCGUCGCUGAAAUCAGAGUAUAUGACUAAGGUUUGUAGGAUGGAGUAACCAGAAGCAAUGUGGUUCAGGGAGUUGACAGAUUACAGGAUGCCCGAGUUGGCCAGAAGGCGAACAUUAAGGAUCACAAGAGUUGAGAGUGAUAAGGUGAAGAUGUCGCUGUGGACUGAAUGAUGAAAAGGAGGAACAAUUCAGUGGUUUCCUGAAGCUGUGAACAUAUGUUGUUGGCGUUCCUUCCCCCGGACAAUUCCUGGGAGACUGCUGCUCUCAGUCUUCGCCGUUUAUGGUCUGUAGUAGAUGUCCAUCUCUCUAAUCGUCAGUUCAAAAAUUGUGGUUACCAGGUUGUCUUCAGAUCCUAGUCUGAUCACGUGUUGAUGUGUUGCAGUACUGGUUGCAACACAGGAAAACCUUUUAUGUUUUUUUGCCUUUUUCUUUCUGGUUUUAAGAUUAUUUGUUAUGUUUUCAUCUGGUAAUGGUGGUGAGACUUGCAAUGGAA
This is a long non-coding RNA of Lolium rigidum, 756 nucleotides long. RefSeq lists it as uncharacterized. NCBI's taxonomy places the organism in Eukaryota, Viridiplantae, Streptophyta, Magnoliopsida, Poales, Poaceae. The record is from RefSeq and is a predicted model, not a curated record. The transcript is spliced from 2 exons.